This 270-nucleotide ribosomal RNA is filed under the name uncultured Prevotella sp. RNAcentral describes it as "partial 16S ribosomal RNA". It matches the Rfam family "Bacterial small subunit ribosomal RNA", at positions 86 to 355 of the family's 1533-position model. Lineage: Bacteria; Pseudomonadati; Bacteroidota; Bacteroidia; Bacteroidales; Prevotellaceae. The record is from RNAcentral.
UGAUGGCGACCGGCGCACGGGUGAGUAACGCGUAUCCAACCUACCCAUUACUAGGGAAUAACCCAGCGAAAGUUGGCCUAAUGCCCUAUGUAGUCGUUUGAUCGCCUGAGAUUUCGACGAAAGAUUUAUCGGUAUUGGAUGGGGAUGCGUCUGAUUAGCUUGUUGGCGGGGUAAAGGCCCACCAAGGCAACGAUCAGUAGGGGUUCUGAGAGGAAGGUCCCCCACAUUGGAACUGAGACACGGUCCAAACUCCUACGGGAGGCAGCAGCC